This 164-nucleotide ribosomal RNA is filed under the name Tolumnia guibertiana. RNAcentral's name for it is "5.8S ribosomal RNA". It matches the Rfam family "5.8S ribosomal RNA". Rfam says of the family: 5.8S ribosomal RNA (5.8S rRNA) is a component of the large subunit of the eukaryotic ribosome. It is transcribed by RNA polymerase I as part of the 45S precursor that also contains 18S and 28S rRNA. Functionally, it is thought that 5.8S rRNA may be involved in ribosome translocation. The record is from RNAcentral. Lineage: Eukaryota; Viridiplantae; Streptophyta; Magnoliopsida; Asparagales; Orchidaceae.
GACACGACUCUCGACAAUGGAUAUCUUGGCUCUUGCAUCGAUGAAGAGCGCAGCGAAAUGCGAUACGUGGUGCGAAUUGCAGAAUCCCGCGAACCAUCGAGUCUUUGAACGCAAGUUGCGCCCGAGGCCAUCCGGCCAAGGGCACGUCCGCCUGGGCGUCAAGC